RNAcentral lists this ribosomal RNA (886 nucleotides) under uncultured bacterium. Its description in RNAcentral is "bacterial SSU rRNA". It matches the Rfam family "Bacterial small subunit ribosomal RNA", at positions 8 to 890 of the family's 1533-position model. The record is from RNAcentral.
AGAGUUUGAUCAUGGCUCAGGAUGAACGCUAGCGGCAGGCUUAACACAUGCAAGUCGAGGGGCAUCGCGGGUGGCAACACCUGGCGGCGACCGGCGAACGGGUGAGUAACGCGUGAGCAACAUGUCCUCAGUCGGGGGAUAAGCGAGGGAAACUUCGUCUAAUACCCCAUAACACUUUCAGGCGCAUGCCUUUAAGUUGAAAGCUUUUUUUGCGACUUUGGUUUGGCUCGCGUGACAUUAGCUAGUCGGUGGGGUAACGGCUCACCGAGGCUACGAUGUCUAGGGGUUCUGAGAGGAAGGCCCCCCACAUUGGGACUGGGACACGGCCCAAACUCCUACGGGAGGCAGCAGUGAGGAAUAUUGGUCAAUGGACGGAAGUCUGAACCAGCCAUGCCGCGUGAAGGAAGACUGCCCUAUGGGUUGUAAACUUCUUUUGCAGCAGAGCAAUAAGGCGUACGUGUACGCCGAUGAGAGUAUGUUGCGAAUAAGCAUCGGCUAACUCCGUGCCAGCAGCCGCGGUAAUACGGAGGAUGCGAGCGUUAUCCGGAUUUAUUGGGUUUAAAGGGUGCGUAGGCUGUUUUGUAAGUCAGCGGUGAAAGACCGGGGCCCAACUCCGGAAGUGCCGUUGAUACUGCAUUGCUAGAGUUCCCCUGCCGUGGGAGGAAUGAGUGGUGUAGCGGUGAAAUGCAUAGAUAUCACUCAGAACACCGAUUGCGAAGGCAUCUCACGAAGAGGCAACUGACGCUGAGGCACGAAAGCGUGGGGAUCAAACAGGAUUAGAUACCCUGGUAGUCCACGCUGUAAACGAUGAUGACUAGCUGCCGGCGAUACACUGUCGGUGGCCCAGCGAAAGCGAUAAGUCAUCCACCUGGGGAGUACGACCGCA